This is a long non-coding RNA of Helianthus annuus (common sunflower), 1994 nucleotides long. RefSeq lists it as uncharacterized. The record is from RefSeq and is a predicted model, not a curated record. Lineage: Eukaryota; Viridiplantae; Streptophyta; Magnoliopsida; Asterales; Asteraceae. The transcript has 2 exons.
ACAUAAAGAAAUCAAUUUCUUGAACAAAAUAAAUCAAAUCCCAGUAAUUUCUCUGUAUAAUUUCCUCUCUUUCUCUCUCUAUCUUCCCUAAAUUGAUGCACAUACAAAGUCGCCAUUUCAAGACCAAAUCCUCAUCUGGGUUCAUUACUUCGGAUCCAAUUUCGACUCAAUAAGUGUCCUUUUCACUUUUGAUUUCAUUUGUUUGUUCAUCUUUCAGAUCUGCCCUCUUGAAUUUGACCAGGUUUGAUGUAAUGUAAUCUUGCUUGUUUGGAUCUAGGUUUGUUCUGUUUUUGUUUGAUUGAUCUGCUAGUUUUUUCAGAUCUUUUAUGUGCUUUAACGCGUGAUGAUGAGCACGCGUGAUCAGUUCUACGCGUGGAAAAAAUAGAGCGGCGGCGGUGUUUGACGUUGAUCAACGAGUGAUGGGAUCAGUUCCAGGGGCGCCUCGGGUCCUCUAAUGAUGAUAAUAAUAGUAUAGAGUAUCAACGUAUUAUAAUAGAGAAAAGUAUUUUAGUAUCAUAAAAGAGAGAAGCCAUUCUAAAUUCCAUUAAGAUACAUGUAUCAAUUAGAAAUUGAAAAUCACAAGAACAGUAACGAUGGUGUGUAAUACUAAGGCCAUCCGUAGUUAUAACGCCCCUUUGUGGGCGUUAUGCGACACGUGGCGCGCCACGUCAGCGUGUGGGCGUUAUGGGGCCUUAUGCAUUUAAGCCCGUAGUCAUAAAGCCCCCGCCUAAUCAUUACCCAAUUAAUUAAUAAACCCUUAAACUAUACAUAUAUAUGUAUAUAUAUAUGCCUGUGUGAGUGGAGAGAAAAGAAACAACAAGCAUGGCGCCGCGAAAUGUAUAACGGGAGGAGAAAAUUUUUACCCCAUAACGCCCCCCGUAGUGGUGUUCGGGGCGCUAUGAGGGCGUUAUGAAGGAAAAGGACGCCAUAUACAGCCCCAUUACACAUGCUCUAAUAUCUGAUCUUAAAGUUUUCAAACAACUAAAUAAAACAUAUUUAAAUUUACAAUGAAAAUUGGUGCAUGAAUUUGAAUUUGAAUUCAUUUUACAAUUUUUAGUUGAUUAGAUGGAUAGUCCAUUUGGUAUGGUUAUGUUGUAGUUUUAACCCUAACUUUCAUUCAUUACAUUUUAUUUAUCAAGAGUAAAUUACAAGUUUUGUCCUUUAUGUUUACAUCAAAUUACAGGCGCUGUCUUUUUGGCCAAAAAUUUAUAGGCGCUGUCCUUAACCUUCCAAAAUUUUACACGUUUUGUCCUUUAGGCCAAAACUGGUUAGAAAUCUCAGUUAAUUCUUGUCAUGUGCAAUGUACAUAUGAGGAUACAAUGGUCUUUUUCCCUCUCAACCCUUUCUAUUUCCCUCAUUUAUAACCCUUACCAACCCCUCAAUUCUAUCUUUAAUUUGUAAAUGAGCAGAACGAACUACAGGAUUGCAAAUACAUUUACACCUCUCUCCUUUACACUUUACUAAAUGAUCUACUUCCGUAUUGGGAAUCUUAAGCUAAACAAUUUAGAGUCCUUGUAGAUUUCUUGCAAAUUGAGCGGUCAUUGGUUACAAGAAAAGAAAAAGAACUCAACAUAAAAAAGGAAUCAGUAAAUUGUUCUAAGAAAUCCCAUGGAUACUGUUGAUUCUGCUAUUGAAAAAUUGGAGGAACAACUAGCAGUGCAUUAAUGAGAAUAAUGAGAUGGAAAUGAAAAUGGAAGAAGCUGUACACGAUUCAGAGAGGAAAUACAUUAAAGCUGAGUUUUAAGUCAUGGCCUCUGCUUUAUCGAAAGAAAUUGGGACGAUGACAUCACAAUUAAAUCGACAGAAGCAAACAACAUGUGAAGCUGUUUCCUUACGGGAAGAGGCCUAAUGCAGAUUGAAAGGUUACAGAAACAUGAAUAUUUUGGGUUAUGACUAGACAAUGGUUAUAUGAUAAUAGGGAUCUGAUAGAAAUUAAACAAUCUGAACAGAGAAAUCAUUCAAGCUGAAGUUUUAAAAUAAGCAUUUGAUGAACA